AUGAUAGUUCCUCUGGUGAUGAUAGUUCCUCUGGUGAUGAUAGUUCCUCUGGUGAUGAUAGUUCCUCUGGUGAUGAUUGUUCCUCUGGUGAUGAUAGUUCCUCUGGUGAUAGGAAUAGUUACCAUGUGGCAGGGGGUGCUGUUGGGUGAUAUUAGGCUUUUUUCUUUUUUUGGUGAUUGGAAUUAUCUUCUUUCUGGAGUUUUUACUAGCCUACUUCAUAUUACCUUUCAUUGUUAGGAUAGUAUAUAGUAGAAGAAACCUCUACUUAUCAUCUUAUUUAUUUUGGGCAACUGUGACUUAUUAAACCCUUGUGCAUCAGUCAAUGUCCUGUGUAUGGCACUAUUGUCUUCUGGGGACAUAAUACCUGUCAUAGCGUUGUGUGUUUAGUGGUUCUUCUCAUGUGUUUCUCAUAUUUUUUCCUCACCUUUGCAUGAUGGCCAUAAUAGGCCUACAAGUGUUAAACAAUAUGGAGGGUGUUUCCCACUCUGGAAUCAUACAACAAUAUUUGCUGAAUAGGUUAUUCAUUUAAAACGGAUAGAUAGGCCUACUUUAAAAAACAAAUUUUGAAAAACUAAACAUUUCCAGUGACGCAGUUUAACUAUGGAAACAGACGACUAUAUUGUACAAUGUAGGUCUACUGUCAUUGAACUUUCCAUUGUCUCGCUCUUCGUGCGUUUUAAAACUAGUUAAUAGGCUUAACCGGUAUGCCUGUUUAGGUCUCCAGCCUCGUCAUUAGUCCAGCACCAUCUGAAGCUAGAAGGGCAGCCAUAGAAUCAAAACAAGUAGUGCUAAAAUGGGUACAACCCCUCAAACCAGAGUUUGACUGCAUCCUCAUGGAUACACUUUUAAAAUGGCUGCCAGUCCACCCAUUGUGGCAUCAUUGACUUGAAUGAGGACAUUCAUUCUACUCAUUAUGGUUCCUUGGAGCAGACAUUCCCAUUCAAAUGAACAUCUCAUGGUGGGUACAUCGGUGGCCAUAUUGGUGUACCAUUAGGAAUGUUGGAUCAAUCAAGGCUUCUCACAUCCGGGCCAAUAUUCAUAAGCAAUCUAGGAUCAGGUCCUGCCUGUUCACAUAGGCCUAAUCUUAUUCAUUAUGAUCUUAAAGGCAAAACUGAUCUUAGAUCAGUACUCUAUCCUGAGACUUUUUAUUAAUACGGGCCCAGAAUUCUGCGCCACAUAAAAAUGCAUUGUUUGCAACAAUGAUUGUUUUCAGCUGUUUGGCCACGCCUCAAAUCACACUCUUUUAUAUAUGCCCUAUAUAGUGCUCAACUUUUGACCAGAAAAAAGUAGGGCACUAUAUAAAGAAUAGGGUAUUAUUUUCCUUUCUAGUAAUUCUAAUUCUACAGUAGCAGACAUACUGGGGUUGAUGAUCAGCUGUGGUGGUGGAGGGGCUUAGUUGUGAUGAUGCUUUAGCUUCACAACACCUGUCUGCGUAAGGAGGGUUUACUGGAGUGUGUGUGUGUUUGCAUUCUUUCUUUCGUACGGCAGUGUGUGUGCAUGCAUGCGUGCAUGCUUGCUUUCUGCCUUGUGUGCGUGUGUUUUCCGUCCCCUUCGGCCAAUAGGAGAGGAGCAUCAGGUGUUGACGUCUGAGAGAGUCAGACAUGGUACCUUAUAAUCCUCAAUCCUCUUGCCCCAGACUUCCCUCUCCUAGAUUGUGUAACAGAAUAUACCGAUAUAGGAAGGAAAAAGUGUAAGUUUCUGGGAACCAAUCUGUUUUGGUCUCCUAUCCAAUCCUGUCUAAAUAUUUUUAUUUAACUAUUGGAAGUGCAGUAUAGUGGACAUGCACUGAGCGUAGUGUUAUGACAAAUCAAAUUAUAUUUUAAUUAUUUUAUUUAACUAGGCAAGUCAGUUAAGAACAAAUUCUUAUUUUCAAUGACGGCCUAGGAACAGUGCGUUGCCUGUUCAGGGGCAGAACGACCUUGUCAGCUCAGGGGUUUGAACUUGCAACCUUCCAUUUACUAGUCCAACGCUCUAACCACUAGGCUACCCUGCCGCCCAGGCAAUUUGUUUCAGGAGAGGCAAUAAGUGUCACCUUCCCACUUGUCUCUCAGUACCAGACCUCAACACCAUAAGCUAGUUACUGGAA
RNAcentral lists this long non-coding RNA (2086 nucleotides) under Oncorhynchus mykiss (rainbow trout). Its description in RNAcentral is "lncRNA (ENSOMYG00000051251.1)". Lineage: Eukaryota; Metazoa; Chordata; Actinopteri; Salmoniformes; Salmonidae. The record is from RNAcentral.